Non-coding RNA from Mycena latifolia, 90 nucleotides. Lineage: Eukaryota; Fungi; Basidiomycota; Agaricomycetes; Agaricales; Mycenaceae. The record is from the annotation of a GenBank genome assembly.
GGCCUGGUGGUGUAGUGGUAACACAUCCUCUAUAUAUACUGGAGUGUGAAUCUUCUGAGGAAGUCCCCUGUUCAACUCAGGGUCAGGCCA